This is a non-coding RNA of Phascolarctos cinereus (koala), 1238 nucleotides long. NCBI's taxonomy places the organism in Eukaryota, Metazoa, Chordata, Mammalia, Diprotodontia, Phascolarctidae. The record is from RefSeq and is a predicted model, not a curated record.
UAUAAUUUUGAGUUACAAAUUCUCUCUCCCUUCUGCCCCUCCCCCACUCCUUGAAAAGGCAAGCAACAUGGUAUCGAUUAUAUAAAUCAUUAAAUUUCUAAACCAAAAAUUUCAAAAGUGAAAUAACACUGAGAAAUAUAUCAUUUAUGAAGAAAAAACCAAUUUCCACUGAUAUUUGGCUUCUAUGAGGAAUUCCUUAAUAUUUACUAUAAAAUGAAAAAAGUUUUAUCUUCUAGUUCGUUAAAGGAAAAUCAUCUUUUUCCUACAUUGAUAACACUUUUAAAGAAGUUGUAAUACAUACCUAUAAUUCAGAACUCCCAAAGGCAACAUUAAAUACUUAUCCAAAUGACUAUUACAUAGAAUCUGAAGGUGGUGGAUAGAUGGGAGACCAGGGAAGGUAGGGGUGACUUUCUGGAGCUAGAAGAGAGAGGGACAACCCUCAGAGCCAGUACAGCAUAGACAGGCCAUGGAACACCCUCUUUUUAGUGCCAUAUUUAAAGUUAUGCAUUACACAGCAAUAAGUCUCAAGUGGUAAUAAAUAUUAACAUGAUUCUCUUCCUUUGAGUUCAGUAGAAUCGGAGGGCAAAGACUGUUUCAUUUUUGUCUGUGUAUCCUUAGCACCUAGCACAGUGCCUGGCACGUAACAGGCACUUAAUAAAAUGCUUAUUGCAUUUAAUUAAGACAACCCAUGAAUCUGUUUUCAAAAGAAAGACUAUAAAUUUGAAGGCAUUUUCGUUGCAAAUAAUUUUCUCUAACUUUGAUCUCUCCCCACUCCAGCCCCCCAUCUGAGGUAACAACUACUACAAUAACAGUUACGGUGUCUGAGGUUUGGACUGUAUGUACAUCUAUUAUCACAGUUGAGCCUACCUUGUGAAAUAAGUGAUACCCUAUUUUUGCAGAUGAAGAGACUGAGGCUCAGAGUUAAGUGAUUUGUCCAGGAUAAAACCACUAAUAAGUAUCUGAGGUGAAAUUUCAUAAGCCCAACGCUCCCUGAAGAUUCCAAGUCCAUUCUUUGUCCUACCCACUAUACCGAAGCUGUGGUAAAUCUUUGUAAUAAACAAUCAGGCUCUUCCCUCCUCUCCUACACCUGUAUCCCAAUGAUUGUCUGGAAGUUUUGAGGAUGCCAUCUGAUUGAUAAGAAACAUCACUGUAUCAACAGAUAUCAAAUUAUUAUUAAGGUGAUGCUACUGUUGAUUUAGAAAUGACAAUGAAAAUUAUUUAAUAAAGAAUUAUGAUUU